Non-coding RNA from Canis lupus familiaris (dog), 73 nucleotides. The record is from Rfam. Lineage: Eukaryota; Metazoa; Chordata; Mammalia; Carnivora; Canidae.
ACCUGGCUGGCUUAGUUGGAAGAGCAUGUGACUCCUGAUCUUGGGGUUGUGAGUUUGAGCCCCACGUUGGGUG